GUAGCUCAGUGGUUAGAGCAUCCAACUGGUGUACGAAAGGUCAUGGGUUCAAAUCCCGUCUGGGACU
RNAcentral lists this transfer RNA (67 nucleotides) under Desmophyllum pertusum. RNAcentral describes it as "tRNA-Thr". It matches the Rfam family "tRNA". From Rfam's summary of the family: Transfer RNA (tRNA) molecules are approximately 80 nucleotides in length. Their secondary structure includes four short double-helical elements and three loops (D, anti-codon, and T loops). Lineage: Eukaryota; Metazoa; Cnidaria; Anthozoa; Scleractinia; Caryophylliidae. The record is from RNAcentral.